Long non-coding RNA from Thalassophryne amazonica, 435 nucleotides. RefSeq lists it as uncharacterized. The transcript is spliced from 2 exons. The record is from RefSeq and is a predicted model, not a curated record. Lineage: Eukaryota; Metazoa; Chordata; Actinopteri; Batrachoidiformes; Batrachoididae.
UCAGUUUUACAAAGUCCACAGUAGAAAUAUAGGGUAAGAUUUUGGGUCAGGACACAAUGGAACAAUUUGGAUCAGCGCCCACCUUUGAAACCCAGGACCUUCCUGUGAUGUUCAGCUGAAGUUCUGCAGCGCUGAACAUACAAUUAACUGUGAAAAUAAGAACACCUACUCUUCAACAAAAAAAAAGAAAAAAAAAAAGAAGAAGAAAAGUCCGAGGGUUGAAUAAAACUCAUGAGAGUAAACACUGAGCAGCUCCAACACAGGAAAGUCCAAGUCAAGGUGUGGAGGGAGUUCCUUUGAUUCGGAGAAAUCCAACAAAUUAAAGAGAAAAAACCCUCUAAUAACACAUUUAUGUUUUAACAUAACACAUUUGUCAGUUUAUUGGAAAAAACAAGAAAACUUCUAAAAAUUUCAUGAAGACAAAAUAAAAAAAGA